Sinocyclocheilus rhinocerous is the source of this 1077-nucleotide long non-coding RNA. RefSeq lists it as uncharacterized. The transcript has 5 exons. The record is from RefSeq and is a predicted model, not a curated record. NCBI's taxonomy places the organism in Eukaryota, Metazoa, Chordata, Actinopteri, Cypriniformes, Cyprinidae.
GUUAAACGCAAAGGUAACGCGGCACACGCAACAGCAAGCAGCAGUUUUUUUUUUUACUGUAACCGCUCGGAGUUUCCCGCGAAUGCAAGAGGAACCGUCUCGAGCAGAAUGAAUGGUUAUCAAGGCGCCAGAAACAGCGCUAGAGCGAAGGAAGCUGUUAAAAGAUGCAGCGCUGGGAGUCUUUUAAAGCCUGGUUCUUCUGGCGACUUGGCAGAGCUCAACCACGGAAGUCAAAGCGCUACGGGCCAAAGACGACCGAUAAAGGUCCAGACAUGAAGGAGACAGCGUCUUGUCUGUGGCAUCUCACAAUGAGAAGAGCUUUCAGCGUGUCGCGAGUUUCCAAAGUUGGUUCAGGAGAUACACUGGAUUAGGUGGAAUGACAAAUCACUCCUGGCGACUGGUGAGGUGACCUGUGCUAUGCCCUUCCAGCAUAGAGAGGUGGGAUGCACCCACCCGCUGCUUGCCUUGUCUCCACACCGACCUCUGCACAGACUGUCAAGUCAACUCACCAUCAGGCCACCGUUUGCCUCAGUGAACAUUCAACGCUGUCGGUGAGUUUGAGCUAAAUAGAAAAAAACCAUCGACCGUUGAUUGUACCCUGCGGCCGAGCCCUACCGAGCCUUGCCUCUCCCCACCACCGGCAAAGACGAAUUUCAGCAUGGACUCCUGGAGACACGACGGUUUUGUCUUCCAACGCUACCGGCAGCCUGGGACGACGGCUGAAAAGUUUGACUUUGAAAACUACAACAAAGGUCACAAUCAACAUUCAUUGCUGUCGGUGGGUUGGACUGUUAAAGAAAGCUCACUGAACAAUGAAUGCAACUGUGUCCCAGAUUUCCUUCUCGCAAAGUGGCAUCGGAGAUUAAUAUUAACUGACAGAGCUGGAUGUACUCAUUUGCUCUUCUCACUUGAGUUUGUUUGUGGCUCUUCGUGGCAAAGACGCAAGUGGACUGAGAACACCAUGUCAAAGGCCCCUUUAAGGCCAAUGAAUGUUUCUUUUGUAUAAUAAAUAAAGACAAGACCAAUCCAAACCCAGUCUAAUCCUGUGAGUCUAAAACGUAUUAACCGGAGAUGUGG